GCUGCGUGGUGGGCGUUGGCAAUGUCCGCAGUUCCGGGGGGCCGGCGCUCCAUGCAGGGCCCCACAAACCCCAGGCCCUGGUUCCCAGGCGGCGGUGGCGGCGGCAGCAGUUUUGAAGCCCGAAUCCCAGGUUGCACGACAGAUGAAUAAUGUACCCGGACACCGAUAUUCAGUGAGAAAGCAGCUAGGAGUCUGAGUCACUCACAGUCACCAAGGAAGAUGCUGUAAAGAGUCAGCAGCCAACGCCCUGACUAGCUGGCCCUGUGGGCAUUUAUUCAGCACAGAUUUAAUGACAAAGGCUUUGAGUCAACACACCUGUGGAUAAUUAAUCUGGUCGCCUCCACCCUGGGAGAGCUAUCUUGCCGUUUCUCAAAGUGAUCAAUCCAGACCUCUGCCGUAUGUAACCCCCUCCUGGUGACCACCUCCCUGUGGGACAGCUGGAUGCAACCUACCUGACUCACCCUGAUGACUCCCACACCACGUAUGGACUGUGCAGAUAUGUCACAAUGACCACCUCUCAGUCGCAGUGUGACUCCAUGGAGCUGGUGCUUGCUUUCUCUAAACUCAAUUAGGACUCCCCUUGGGAAACCUGCCUUGGUAAUGUCCUGGACCCCAAAGCCUCUGCCCACAAGUCCCUCUCUCUUGCUCCCCAUCCAGAGGUUGAGUGUGUGUUUCCUGAAUGACUCUCUUCUUCCCAUCAGUCCUGGUGAUGUGUCCUGCCCUUUUCUCUCUAGAUUUGUAAGUAAUAAACUGCUUCUGUUA
Gorilla gorilla gorilla (western lowland gorilla) is the source of this 762-nucleotide long non-coding RNA. RefSeq lists it as uncharacterized. NCBI's taxonomy places the organism in Eukaryota, Metazoa, Chordata, Mammalia, Primates, Hominidae. The record is from RefSeq and is a predicted model, not a curated record. The transcript is spliced from 3 exons.